Molecule: ribosomal RNA, 1040 nt
Filed under: Saccharomyces cerevisiae (brewer's yeast)
Lineage: Eukaryota; Fungi; Ascomycota; Saccharomycetes; Saccharomycetales; Saccharomycetaceae
Description: SSU rRNA
Rfam family: Eukaryotic small subunit ribosomal RNA
Source: RNAcentral
AGUAUAAGCAAUUUAUACAGUGAAACUGCGAAUGGCUCAUUAAAUCAGUUAUCGUUUAUUUGAUAGUUCCUUUACUACAUGGUAUAACUGUGGUAAUUCUAGAGCUAAUACAUGCUUAAAAUCUCGACCCUUUGGAAGAGAUGUAUUUAUUAGAUAAAAAAUCAAUGUCUUCGGACUCUUUGAUGAUUCAUAAUAACUUUUCGAAUCGCAUGGCCUUGUGCUGGCGAUGGUUCAUUCAAAUUUCUGCCCUAUCAACUUUCGAUGGUAGGAUAGUGGCCUACCAUGGUUUCAACGGGUAACGGGGAAUAAGGGUUCGAUUCCGGAGAGGGAGCCUGAGAAACGGCUACCACAUCCAAGGAAGGCAGCAGGCGCGCAAAUUACCCAAUCCUAAUUCAGGGAGGUAGUGACAAUAAAUAACGAUACAGGGCCCAUUCGGGUCUUGUAAUUGGAAUGAGUACAAUGUAAAUACCUUAACGAGGAACAAUUGGAGGGCAAGUCUGGUGCCAGCAGCCGCGGUAAUUCCAGCUCCAAUAGCGUAUAUUAAAGUUGUUGCAGUUAAAAAGCUCGUAGUUGAACUUUGGGCCCGGUUGGCCGGUCCGAUUUUUUCGUGUACUGGAUUUCCAACGGGGCCUUUCCUUCUGGCUAACCUUGAGUCCUUGUGGCUCUUGGCGAACCAGGACUUUUACUUUGAAAAAAUUAGAGUGUUCAAAGCAGGCGUAUUGCUCGAAUAUAUUAGCAUGGAAUAAUAGAAUAGGACGUUUGGUUCUAUUUUGUUGGUUUCUAGGACCAUCGUAAUGAUUAAUAGGGACGGUCGGGGGCAUCAGUAUUCAAUUGUCAGAGGUGAAAUUCUUGGAUUUAUUGAAGACUAACUACUGCGAAAGCAUUUGCCAAGGACGUUUUCAUUAAUCAAGAACGAAAGUUAGGGGAUCGAAGAUGAUCAGAUACCGUCGUAGUCUUAACCAUAAACUAUGCCGACUAGGGAUCGGGUGGUGUUUUUUUAAUGACCCACUCGGCACCUUACGAGAAAUCAAAGUCUUUGG